AUUGAACGCUGGCGGCAGGCCUAACACAUGCAAGUCGAGCGGAUGAAGGGAGCUUGCUCCUGGAUUCAGCGGCGGACGGGUGAGUAAUGCCUAGGAAUCUGCCUGGUAGUGGGGGAUAACGUCCGGAAACGGGCGCUAAUACCGCAUCCGUCCUGCGGGAGAACGUGGGGGUGCUUCGGACCUCGCGCUAUCAGAUGAUCCUAGGUCGGAUUAGCUAGUUGGUGGGGUAAAGGGCUACCAAGGCGACGAUCCGUAACUGCUCUGAGAGGAUGAUCAGUGACACUGGAACUGAGACACGGUCCAGACUCCUACGGGAGGCAGCAGUGGGGAAUAUUGGACAAGGGGCGAAAGCCUGAUCCAGCCAUGCCGCGUGUGUGAAGAAGGUCUUCGGAUUGUAAAGCACUUUAAGUUGGGAGGAAGGGCAGUAAGUUAAGACCUUGCUGUUUUGACGUUACCAACAGAAUAAGCACCGGCUAACUUCGUG
This 484-nucleotide ribosomal RNA is filed under the name uncultured bacterium. RNAcentral describes it as "partial 16S ribosomal RNA". It matches the Rfam family "Bacterial small subunit ribosomal RNA", at positions 30 to 507 of the family's 1533-position model. The record is from RNAcentral.